This 333-nucleotide ribosomal RNA is filed under the name uncultured Bacillota bacterium. RNAcentral's name for it is "bacterial SSU rRNA". It matches the Rfam family "Bacterial small subunit ribosomal RNA", at positions 28 to 351 of the family's 1533-position model. Lineage: Bacteria; Bacillati; Bacillota. The record is from RNAcentral.
GACGAACGCUGGCGGCGUGCCUAAUACAUGCAAGUCGAGCGAACUUGCGGGAGCUUGCUCCCAAAAGUUAGCGGCGGACGGGUGAGUAACACGUGGGCAACCUACCUAUAAGACUGGGAUAACUUCGGGAAACCGGAGCUAAUACCGGAUGACACAAAGGAACUCCUGUUCCUUUGUUGAAAGAUGGCUUCGGCUAUCACUUAUAGAUGGGCCCGCGGCGCAUUAGCUAGUUGGUGAGGUAACGGCUCACCAAGGCAACGAUGCGUAGCCGACCUGAGAGGGUGAUCGGCCACACUGGGACUGAGACACGGCCCAGACUCCUACGGGUGGCAG